CCGGAUCCCAUCAGAACUCCGCAGUUA
This 27-nucleotide small nuclear RNA is filed under the name Arabidopsis thaliana (thale cress). RNAcentral describes it as "snRNA_08367". Lineage: Eukaryota; Viridiplantae; Streptophyta; Magnoliopsida; Brassicales; Brassicaceae. The record is from RNAcentral.